RNAcentral lists this long non-coding RNA (243 nucleotides) under Elaeis guineensis (African oil palm). Its description in RNAcentral is "long non-coding RNA (EGUI_LNC007264)". Lineage: Eukaryota; Viridiplantae; Streptophyta; Magnoliopsida; Arecales; Arecaceae. The record is from RNAcentral.
AGAUUAUUCCUACAUAUUCUAUUCGAUGAUAUGGACAUAUCUACACCUCCGACCCAUCUAUCAGAUAAGUAGAUUGACUUUUGACCCUUAGAUCCCCUUUCCUCGACUCAAAUCUAAUUAUGUGAAGCUUCUAAAUAUAAAAAUUUAAAAUAAAUAAAAAAAAUUAUUAAUACUACUUGGCUUACCUACUAUGAUGACUGAGGCUGAGAGCUAGCUGCUGCUCCAUAUGAUUGUGGGGUCAAU